Molecule: long non-coding RNA, 184 nt
Filed under: Canis lupus familiaris (dog)
Lineage: Eukaryota; Metazoa; Chordata; Mammalia; Carnivora; Canidae
Description: lncRNA (ENSCAFG00000040987.2, ENSCAFG00845028568.1)
Source: RNAcentral
UAGCAUCUUGUUAACAGUAGUCAGCAGCAGGGAGGAACAGAACCAGAGUUUGACUGCACUUCUAUGUGAAUUGCAGCUUUCCUUCAUCCCAGGGGCUGCUAUAUUUCCUUGCAUCUGCACCUUCUAAGAAAGGAGAAUAAGAAAUAAAGUUUCAUACCAGCAUUGAGUAGAUGCUGUGGGAGAC